RNAcentral lists this long non-coding RNA (279 nucleotides) under Physcomitrium patens. Its description in RNAcentral is "long non-coding RNA (PPAT_LNC002344)". Lineage: Eukaryota; Viridiplantae; Streptophyta; Bryopsida; Funariales; Funariaceae. The record is from RNAcentral.
UGCUUGAUUUUGUGCCUCAGGGUCUGAUUUCGAUCCAGGUUGCUUACCGGCUCUCCUUGGGUAUCAAUAUCUAGUUUUUCUAGGUAAUUUUUGCUAUAAUUUACUUUUAACUUCUUCCUAAAGAUACUUAUAUCAUUUAUUUUUCUAAUCUACUUUAUUUUGCCUUAUUUAUGGUCCUAUAAAGUAAAUAGAAGUCACUUUUAUUAAAAAGUAGUACUACUAAAAAAAUUUAUUACCUUCCUAUCUUUUAUCCAUAUUUUUCUACUUUAUCUUUUAACU